AGAUUCUUCACAUUCAAGAAGCAGCAAUGCAAGAUGCAUGGUGGAGGACACACCAUGACAGCAGCGUGUGGUUGUCCAUGAGCACUUUAAACUCCUUUCUCAGGGGCUAGACACUGUGCUGGGUUACAGCCAAGGCAGGAAGCAAUGGUCCCGUGUCCCUGGGUCAGCUUUGGGCAGCAGCAGUGGAAAGUCUUUUGUGCUGUUUUGGGACAUCAUGUCAUUGUGGCCAGUCACUGGAUGAGCUUUUUUCCCUGUGUGAUCCCAUCGGGAGGCACAUUGGAAAAGGAAGAAGAGAGAUGCUCUUCAGAGCAAAGAAGUGUUGCAUCCUAUGUUUUGUUUCUGUCAUGUGGCCACUGUACAGCUCAGGGUCUGGAUGAGGUUUUUGAUGUGUGUGUUUGAGCCUUUUGGCACUCUGAAGUUGUUGUAUGUGUGUUUCUGAUGUUCUGCUCAGCCAAGACUGGAUGGUACCACCAGGCACUGGAGAAGUCAGGAGCAGGAAGGGCUGGGGGUCUUCAUUCCUGUAAGAGGAUCAAAUCUGGCAUUGAACCGGAGUCUCUGCUCACAGUGUGGAUGGCAGAAGUAGCCAGAGGAGCAAUAAGAAAGCUCAGCAGCAAUCUUUGGUCCCUCUUUUGUAGGUCAGGUUGAUAGUGCUGCUUCCCAGGCGAGUCCUGCUCCACCAAAACUCAUCAAAGAAUUGCUGUGCAAGGGCUCAGGCUAACGCUGUCCUGGCUGGUGGGAGAUGUUCAUGAGGUUCAGUGACCAUGGCAUCACACCAAACUCAAACACACAGGAGUCCCCAGUACCAGCUCCUAAGACUUGUGGUUUUUGGUCCAUACCUUGUAUAAAUGAUGCCAGAGAUUCAGUUGUCCCUGUUCAGUCCUGUCUGGGCUUUUUUCCCCCCACUUUUGAAAUGGCAAUUUCUGGCAGGGUUUCUCCCUGGAGAGGAGGCAGCCCAUCCUUUUGGGAUGAAGGAGAAAGGCUUCACCCUGUGCAGAGCCUGCGUAGCACAGUUUGGGUUAGGGUUUGCAGGGCUGCAGUGGGGAAGGUGAAUUGUGCUCCAUGGACCUGUCCUGUUGGUGUCAUUCAGCUUUUGGUAUGAGAGGGGCAUUAAAUGAGCCUGAAUCUGAGUGUGCCUGGAGCGAUGGGGACAUGGGUACCGCUGGCUGGUGUCCGAGGUGGGUCGAUUUGGGUGCUUGGGACCAAGAGGAGGUCCUUGGUCCUUAGCUGCAAGGUGGCUUCGGUCUGGGAAUAUGCUGAAUUUAUAUAUAUGAGAUGCCUGAACAGCCAAAUCUAGAAAUCUCUGAGUUUGUGCUUUGUAGCGAAAGGUAAAUCAUUGUGUCUUGGGGAUGGGGUGGGAGGGUGUUAUUUGAGGGGUAAAACUGAAAGAAACAGGUUUCCUAUUUUAUUACAUGAGAGAUAUUUUUCCACUAAAUUACCACUUCCUAAACCGUGUCCUGUGUCCAACUGUAAAUACCCGGGUGUGCCAUGAAAACGUUGGAAGGCUCCUCAUGGUCACAUCCACACGGUCCACUCUGUUCACACAAUAUUGGGCUGAUUUGUUUUAUACUUAUGAAAUUACAGAAAUAAAAGCAGUUUUACUGGA
Molecule: long non-coding RNA, 1603 nt
Organism: Strigops habroptila (Kakapo)
Lineage: Eukaryota; Metazoa; Chordata; Aves; Psittaciformes; Psittacidae
Source: Ensembl